GAGAGGAGAGAGGAAGAGUUUUAAUUUCUCAAAAUUUAAUUAAUUGAAACCCUAAGAAACUAUCUCUUUAUAUAGACCCUUCCUUGAUCCAGAUCAAGAACCAAUCAACCUAAAAAGGCUAGUUCUUAUCUCAUAAGAAUUUUUACCUUUUUAAUUUGAUUAUUUUUUAUUAAAAUCAGACUUAAUUGAUAGGAUUUAAAUCUCUUUUGAUAAGC
This 215-nucleotide long non-coding RNA is filed under the name Elaeis guineensis (African oil palm). RNAcentral's name for it is "long non-coding RNA (EGUI_LNC065946)". Lineage: Eukaryota; Viridiplantae; Streptophyta; Magnoliopsida; Arecales; Arecaceae. The record is from RNAcentral.